UACGGAGGGGGCUAGCGUUGUUCGGAACUACUGGGCGUAAAGCGCGCGUAGGCGGACCUGCAAGUCGGGGGUGAAAGCCCGAGGCUCAACCUCGGAACUGCCUUCGAUACUGCGGGUCUCGAGUCCGGGAGAGGUGAGUGGAAUUCCUAGUGUAGAGGUGAAAUUCGUAGAUAUCUGGAGGAACACCGGUGGCGAAGGCGGCAUCCUGGACCGACACUGACGCUGAGGAGCGAAAGUGUGGGGAGCGAACAGG
This 253-nucleotide ribosomal RNA is filed under the name uncultured bacterium. Its description in RNAcentral is "partial 16S ribosomal RNA". It matches the Rfam family "Bacterial small subunit ribosomal RNA", at positions 524 to 776 of the family's 1533-position model. The record is from RNAcentral.